CAACGGACUCACUCCCUUCUG
RNAcentral lists this microRNA (21 nucleotides) under Ornithorhynchus anatinus (platypus). RNAcentral describes it as "oan-miR-7431-5p". The record is from miRBase by way of RNAcentral. Lineage: Eukaryota; Metazoa; Chordata; Mammalia; Monotremata; Ornithorhynchidae.